Molecule: long non-coding RNA, 374 nt
Organism: Trichosurus vulpecula (common brushtail)
Lineage: Eukaryota; Metazoa; Chordata; Mammalia; Diprotodontia; Phalangeridae
Exons: 3
Source: RefSeq, a predicted model, not a curated record
GGAGAGGGGGAGGAAGAUGGUGGAGCUGGAGGCAGCAGCGGCCGGAGGGAAGGCUCGUGCCCAGGCUGGUCGCCCACCCUGUCAUUACCCCCGCGCCGCCUGCUAACGUGGGCCCGGCCAGACCCCAGCUGUCAGGCUACGAGGUCUGAAGCCACUUCCUGUUGGGCUACUCUGGACACUGAGCUCCUCAUUUGCCCUUUCUUAUACUUCCUCCAUUUUGGGAGCUGAAGACUGAGUUGCAUCUGCUGCGGUUGGUGGGUCUUAUUGCCCUGCCCGUGAAUGAACUGAACACCGUGGUGCUGGAGAGAAUUCAAGGCUGGGAAUCAGGAGAGACGUGGAUUUGAAUCUGCCUCUGAUGCUUACAAGCUGCCUAA